GAUGAACGCUAGCUACAGGCUUAACACAUGCAAGUCGAGGGGCAGCAUGGUCUUAGCUUGCUAAGGCCGAUGGCGACCGGCGCACGGGUGAGUAACACGUAUCCAACCUGCCGUCUACUCUUGGACAGCCUUCUGAAAGGAAGAUUAAUACAAGAUGGCAUCAUGAGUUCACAUGUUCACAUGAUUAAAGGUAUUCCGGUAGACGAUGGGGAUGCGUUCCAUUAGAUAGUAGGCGGGGUAACGGCCCACCUAGUCUUCGAUGGAUAGGGGUUCUGAGAGGAAGGUCCCCCACAUUGGAACUGAGACACGGUCCAAACUCCUACGGGAGGCAGCAGUGAGGAAUAUUGGUCAAUGGGCGAGAGCCUGAACCAGCCAAGUAGCGUGAAGGAUGACUGCCCUAUGGGUUGUAAACUUCUUUUAUAAAGGAAUAAAGUCGGGUAUGUAUACCCGUUUGCAUGUACUUGAUGAAUAAGGAUCGGCUAACUCCGUG
Molecule: ribosomal RNA, 490 nt
Filed under: uncultured bacterium
Lineage: Bacteria
Description: partial 16S ribosomal RNA
Rfam family: Bacterial small subunit ribosomal RNA
Source: RNAcentral